GAGGAACAUUCACUAGAAGUUUCAGUGUGUGGAUAUUUCAAAGAGAACGCAAAAAUGGCAAAAAGAAAGGAUGAGAUACAAUCUAAGAGAGAGAGAAAGGUGCUGAGAGAAGUGAAAUGGAGCAGCAUUAAUGGUGACAAACCAAACUUUUCCCAUGAUACAGACACACCUGAAGAGAUUCAUUCUGGUAUUUCAGAUGGAUUCACAGAUGAGGGAUCUAAUGUUUUUGAAGAAGAUCGAACAUGAGUUUCAUACAGACUUUGUUGACUUUGUGUUUAUGGUUAUGAAAUAAAAAUAAAGGCAUUUGAUAUGACUUCUGCGCAGCAUGUCUGAAGAGUUGAAUU
Molecule: long non-coding RNA, 344 nt
Organism: Labeo rohita (rohu)
Lineage: Eukaryota; Metazoa; Chordata; Actinopteri; Cypriniformes; Cyprinidae
Exons: 3
Source: RefSeq, a predicted model, not a curated record